RNAcentral lists this ribosomal RNA (448 nucleotides) under uncultured Chloroflexota bacterium. RNAcentral's name for it is "bacterial SSU rRNA". It matches the Rfam family "Bacterial small subunit ribosomal RNA", at positions 923 to 1382 of the family's 1533-position model. Lineage: Bacteria; Bacillati; Chloroflexota. The record is from RNAcentral.
GCACAAGCAGCGGAGCGUGUGGUUUAAUUCGUUGCUACACGAAGAACCUUACCUGGGUUUGACAUGCUUAAAGUAGGAACUCGAAAGAGGGACGACCUGUAUCCAGUCAGGAGUUUGCACAGGUGCUGCAUGGCUGUCGUCAGCUCGUGCCGUGAGGUGUUAGGUUAAGUCCUGCAACGAGCGCAACCCUCGUCGCUAGUUGUUUUCUCUAGCGAUACUGCCCGUAUAACGUGGAGGAAGGUGGGGAUGACGUCAAGUCAGCAUGGCCCUUACAUCCUGGGCUACACACACGCUACAAUGGGUGAUACAACAGGUUGCAAUAGAGUAAUCUGGAGCCAAUCCCUAAAAUCAUCCUCAGUACGGAUUGCAGGCUGCAACUGCCUGCAUGAAGUUGGAGUUGCUAGUAAACGCAGGCCAGCACACUGCGUUGAAUACGUUCUCGGGCCUU